This 3587-nucleotide long non-coding RNA is filed under the name Solanum tuberosum (potato). Its description in RNAcentral is "long non-coding RNA (STUB_LNC004938)". The record is from RNAcentral. Lineage: Eukaryota; Viridiplantae; Streptophyta; Magnoliopsida; Solanales; Solanaceae.
UUUUUCCUGAGAGAUUUGUUGGGACACUACACCAAAAGAGACCUUUAGCGGCAAUUGAUUUUUCUUUUAGUGGCAAUAGUUAUUGCCACAAAUACAUUACCGGCAUUUGAUUAAAUGUCAUUGGAUCCAAUGUCGCUAAAGCCUUUAGUGGCAUUUAUGUCGGGUGCCGGUAAAGACCCUCAUUAUUGCCACUAAAAGUAAUUACUUUUAGCGACUUUUAUUUAGUGGCAUUUACUAUUGCCAUUAAAGCUACUUUAGAAACAAACAUAUGUGUGGCAUUUAAAUUCACCUUAAUUCACAUAUUUACCCUCUUUUAUAACAUCAAAAACAAAAUUCACAAGAGAAAUAAGUUCGAAAGUAGUAAAGAAGAAUUAUCAAACUCAAAACAAUGUCAUUUACUUAAAAUAAGAACAAACAAUCUUAAUACAUUCAACUUCUUAUCUUGUAGCGGAAAAACAAACUAUGAAUUAUCAAAAUAGAAAAAAUGUGUUCAACAAUGGAAACAAUAAGGCAAUUAAGCCAGUGUUUGUUCCCUAAUGCAAAAUGUGACAGCUUUCUGGAUCAGUGUGUCAGUCAUUCCUUGAACAAGCUCACCAUUUGAAUGAGUAUGCCACUGUACACAUAUAGCGGUAGAUGGUUAGACGACAAAAAAUUGACAUGCCAAUUACAUAUCUUACUCACUAAGAUCUAGGUGACUAAAAUUUGAAAUAGAGACAGAAUAGAAAAGCACCACCCAUGGUCCCGUCAUGUACCUAGUUCAAAUAUAAUAUUUCAUAUCACAACUAAGGAAUCAAUUGACAAGCAACAACCUCAUUAGCAAGAGGAAUAAACUAAAGUAAUGCCUUUUCAAAUCCACCAAGCAGUUCAUAUAUAUGACGUCCUGGCAAGUCUAAAGUAGUGUGUUACUACACACCAACUCAAACACUAAGGUUCAGGAAACAUUUACCGUCAAGCAAAAUCUCAGAAAAUAUUAAUAAUCUCAUAAUAACUUUUAACUAGUUGAUUAUACUCCAAUGCUUGACAUAUGACUUAUCAAGAAAUUAAAAUCAAACUAAGCAGCAAAUAGAGAACAGUUGGUUCUGAUACUUGAAACUGGCAACCACCAUCAAUAAUGGAAUUUUUGUUCAAGUUAACUACCUUAAUCAAUAAUAAGAAUUUUUGUUCAAAGAGCACCAUCAAAAGCAAUAGAUACAACCUCACCCACUAUCAUACAAACUCGGAUACAACAACUUGUGAUGCUGUAAUUAACACAGUAUAGGAGAAUAUUAAGAUUGAGCUCUGAAUUGACACAUUUGGAAGAUCACUAAGUAGCUACGAAUGAACCUGAAGGAAGUUCUUCAUCAUGGUGAUGUAUCCUCAUGUCUGCUCUUCAUUCCUUCAAUCAACGAAUUACCUAUAUAUAAAGAGAACAUGUAGUUUUAUUUAGUUUCACUUGCCUUGACUCGAAAAAAUCUGAAAUUCAACAUACUCCAUCAAGACAUUAGCAUUUACACCCCUCCAUCUUGAUCUCUUAAAAGCACUUAACCUAGUGAAACAAUAAAAUUACAUUAUUCCUACAUUAGGAUCCUUUAUAAUCCAAUUCUUGCAAUAAGCAAAAUCACUCCUUUAACAUACUUGACUUCUAUUAAGAGCCCUUUUGAUUGAUAAAGAAAUAAGACAUUUACACUAAGAAUAAUAGAAAAUAGAUUGGAUAAAGAAGGAGGGAUCCAAUGGAUUGACAACCAACAUGAAGUUAAUUGAUUUAUGAUGAACCCACACAAAAUGGUAUUACAUUAACAAUUGACACAUAACGAGAUUGAACUAGGAAUACAAAAACAAGUACAAGCCAUAAUAAUAUGAGAUACAUACAAGUUACUCAUGCCCAGUAUUUUGGUCUUCUAAGUUCAACACCCAAAGUAACAUCAAUAGAACGUACAGAAGUGUAGAAGAUUACAAGCAAAGUGAUACUUAGUCCUUUUCGGAAUAUAUAUCCUCUAUUCACAAUUGCUCAUUGUAUGAAAUAUAGUUGUACAGUGUGCAAAUGAGCUGGAGCAGACCAAUACCUAUGUUAAUGUUCAUCGAAUUUCUAGAAGAAAUAAGAGUGAUAAAAUGUAGGUACAUUAGGAACUUGAAUAUCAGAUUUUGCAUAAGUGCGCGAAGUCUCAAGUUCACUGCAUAAACUGUAAAAGUACACUCUAUUGAUUCACUAGCCUGACUUCGGCAGCAGAGAUCACGAAAAGAUUUAGCCUAGUAAUUGAAAAUUUGAGUUUUAUAUGAAUAAAUAUAGUUUCAAUUAACUACUAAGUUUAGUUGUUUACCUUCAAAUAGGAGAUCAAAAAUCGAACUCCACAAUAGCUAAUUUGGUUGCUAUCUGCAAUUCUGCACCAAUUUUAUUGAACACAAGAUCAAACUAUGCGAUAUAGAAACACAUGCAUCAAUUCAAACAACAUAAAAGAUAGAACUCUAGAACAUACACCCAUACAAGGCCCAACAAUUGAAUAAAAUGGAUAUUAGUAGUCACCAAAUGGCUGGCUGUACAGUUCGAAUUCAAUCUGAUUGAAUAUGAGGCAAUCGGCGAUGAUGAAUUUGCUAAUAUGAAUACAAACUGCUAACGGUGAGCUUGUGAAGAGACGUCGACGGCUUUGAUUCGUCUUUCUUCUCAUCAAUAGCACUGAUGUACUGAACUCCGCUGCCGAUGUGCCGAACUCCACUGCUGUUGUGCCGAUUUCCGCCGCCGUCGUGUUGAUUUCCAUUGCUGACCAUUUGAGUUUUCGUUGAAGGGAGAAGACGGAGGAAUAUUCAAAGUAAAAAGGAUUGGGGCAAAAGUAAAAAUAAAUAAAAUCAAUUCAGUGAAAAGGAAUUGGGGCAAAAACGAUUAUACCCUAUUUAUUUUAAUUACCGGUGAAAAGUACUUGGUAUACCGGCUAAAGUUUAAAUGCCGAAAGAUGUAUACUUCCUCCAUCCCAAUUUAUGUGAGGUACUUUGAUUCGGCACGAAGUUUAAGAAAGAAAGGAAGACUUUUAAAACUUGUGGUCCAAAAUGAAUGAUAGAAAUUUGUGUGGCUGUAAAUCAUUUCAUUAAGGGUAAAAUAGACAUUUUAUAGUUAAAUUGUUACUUAAUAUAAAAAUGUGUCAUUUUUUUGGGACUGACCAAAAAGGAAAGUAAGUCAUAUAAGUUGGGACAGAGGGAGUAGUUUAUAUGAUGUAUAGUGGCAAUUUGUUUAUUACCACUAAAUAAAUGUCACUAAAAGCAUUUUUUAUUGUAAUGGGAGCAGUAUAGAUUUUCGUGGACGUGACUUUCAACUUUUACCAUUUGGCUCUGGGAGAAGAAGCUGUCCUGGAAUGCAGUUGGGAGUUACCAUCGUUCGCCUUAUGGUGGCACAGUUGGUGCAUUGCUUUGAGUGGGAGCUUCCAAAUGGUAUUGAGCCUUGUGAUUUAGACAUUGAUUAGAAGUUUGGAAUGGUAACAUGUAGAGAAAAACCUUUGCUGGCUAUUCCUACUUAUAGACUAUACAAAUGAUACAAAUAGCAUGAUUGUUGUGUUCUUUCCCUUCUAUUCUACAAAUACUGCAUUGACAGUACAUCUAUACCUAAUAAAAUUGGUAUCUUC